This 58-nucleotide transfer RNA is filed under the name Salmo salar (Atlantic salmon). It matches the Rfam family "tRNA", at positions 8 to 63 of the family's 71-position model. From Rfam's summary of the family: Transfer RNA (tRNA) molecules are approximately 80 nucleotides in length. Their secondary structure includes four short double-helical elements and three loops (D, anti-codon, and T loops). Further hydrogen bonds mediate the characteristic L-shaped molecular structure. tRNAs have two regions of fundamental functional importance: the anti-codon, which is responsible for specific mRNA codon recognition, and the 3' end, to which the tRNAs corresponding amino acid is attached (by aminoacyl-tRNA synthetases). tRNAs cope with the degeneracy of the genetic code in two manners: having more than one tRNA (with a specific anti-codon) for a particular amino acid; and 'wobble' base-pairing, i.e. permitting non-standard base-pairing at the 3rd anti-codon position. Lineage: Eukaryota; Metazoa; Chordata; Actinopteri; Salmoniformes; Salmonidae. The record is from Rfam by way of RNAcentral.
UGGCUCAGUUGGUAGAGCAUGGUGUUUGCAAAGCCAGGGUUGUGGGUUCUAUUCCCAC